RNAcentral lists this transfer RNA (77 nucleotides) under Desulfonatronum sp. SC1. RNAcentral describes it as "tRNA-Pro". It matches the Rfam family "tRNA". Rfam says of the family: Transfer RNA (tRNA) molecules are approximately 80 nucleotides in length. The record is from RNAcentral. Lineage: Bacteria; Pseudomonadati; Thermodesulfobacteriota; Desulfovibrionia; Desulfovibrionales; Desulfonatronaceae. RNAcentral also lists the same sequence under 1 other name.
CGGGAUGUGGCUCAGCUUGGUAGAGCGCAGCGUUCGGGACGCUGAGGCCGGAGGUUCGAAUCCUCUCAUCCCGACCA